Molecule: ribosomal RNA, 460 nt
Filed under: uncultured bacterium
Lineage: Bacteria
Description: partial 16S ribosomal RNA
Rfam family: Bacterial small subunit ribosomal RNA
Source: RNAcentral
CCUACGGGUGACAGCAGUGAGGAAUAUUGGUCAAUGGGCGAGAGCCUGAACCAGCCAAGUCGCGUGAAGGAUGACGGCCCUACGGGUUGUAACCUUCUUUUGUCAGGGAGCAAUUGGGUCCACGCGUGGGCUUAGCGAGAGUACCUGACGACAAAGCAUCGGCUAACUCCGUGCCAGCAGCCGCGGUAAUACGGAGGAUGCGAGCGUUAUCCGGAUUUAUGGGGUUAAAGGGGUGCGUAGGCGGACUAUCAAGUCAGCGGUAAAAAUUCGGGGCUCAACCCCGUCGUGCCGUUGAAACUGAUGUUCUUGAGUGGGCGAGAAGUAGGCGGAAUGCGUGGUGUAGCGGUGAAAUGCAUAGAUAUCACGCAGAACUCCGGUUGCGAAGGCAGCAUACCGGCGCACAACUGACGCUGAAGCGCGAAAGCGUGGGUAGCGAACAGGAUUAGAUACCCCAGUAGUC